Long non-coding RNA from Gambusia affinis (western mosquitofish), 975 nucleotides. RefSeq lists it as uncharacterized. NCBI's taxonomy places the organism in Eukaryota, Metazoa, Chordata, Actinopteri, Cyprinodontiformes, Poeciliidae. The transcript has 3 exons. The record is from RefSeq and is a predicted model, not a curated record.
UAUUCAAUCUGGCCCAGAGCAUUUUCCUUAUUUUUCUAAUCCGGUUACAGUAACUGUUAUCCUUCGAAUGAAUCAAAUUGUUUUGCGAAACUCGUUCUUUAUUUUGUAGCAUUCAAUUAAAGCUCUCCUUGUUUUAUCUCUCCCCAAUCAACACUGUAGUUUUUACUGCUGCAGCCCCCUAUUGGUUACUUCACUACAAAGACAAAAGUUCAACUCACUUUUGUCCUGUUGACUCCCUCCACAUAGUCAGAAUUUGUCUUGUUUUGGUGGAAUUAACCCUUUUUUCUUCCAGUUUGAGUCUGUUUUUGCAGGUUAUUUUGCAGGUUGUUCCACACAGAAGCUAUCCUUGGAGGCUGCCAAGAAGAGAGAGAGGAAACGAGAACUGGAAGUUCAGCCUAUGAAAGUCCAGAACACUCUGGCCUACAUCAUGGACUUGGACCCACACCCAAUGAGGAGAAGAUGAAGUUCUUGUUUCUUUAGAAAGUUUGUGUUGUGUCGCACCACAUUGGAUGCCGAAGAAGUUGGCCAAAGACCUUUGAAGAAGCAAUUCUUUUUUGUCAUUGUUUAUAAUUGUAAAUAGUUUUUCUUGUAUGUAUGUAUGUAUGUAUAUAUUUAAAAUAGUUUUAUUUAUACUAUAGAGAGUGUAAUAUGUCAUGUUAGAUUAUAGUUUCAGUUCCUGUAUGUGUAUAUAGUUAUAGUUCCUGUAUGUGUAUAGUUAUAUAAGUUUUAUAUUUAUAACAAGUGAAACAUCAUGGCAAAGCCAUGAUGUUUCACUUGUGAGAGUAAAUCUGUCGGGCCUCACCUUGACACUCAGGCAACAACCCUGAGUGCCACAUGGCCAGACAGGACACAUGUAAAAUAAAAAACAUAGCAAAAUUUUUUAUUUUAUUUAUAUUCUUUAAAUGUUGUAAUUUUAGUUCAUUGUAAACUUUACCUGCAAAAACCUUGUAGAAAUCUUUAACAUUGUUCAAUAUA